Canis lupus familiaris (dog) is the source of this 816-nucleotide long non-coding RNA. RefSeq lists it as uncharacterized. The record is from RefSeq and is a predicted model, not a curated record. The transcript has 3 exons. NCBI's taxonomy places the organism in Eukaryota, Metazoa, Chordata, Mammalia, Carnivora, Canidae.
GAUAGUCAGAUGAGCUCUCCACACACAUGGGCUUGCCAGGAACCAUAUCAACAAAGGCAGCGACACCAGAUUUCAAGAAGUUGGGGCCAUCUACCAGCUUCUUCCCAGAAUGACAAUUAAUCUUCUCUUUCAGCUCAACAAACCUGUGAGCAACAUGAGCUUAUGUGACAAUCCAUCAAGGUGCAUAGCCAGCGCUGAUUUGGCCUGGUUGGUUCCAGAUAAUCUGCUCGAGCUGUGAAGCCAGCUGCUUCCAGUGCAAUCAUCAGCUGUAAGAGGACAACACUCUCACGUUGGGGUGAAGGUGAGGAAGAGGAAGAUGGGCUGGUCUAAGGAUGGAGCUUGCACAUAUGGUGAAAUGGAAGAAGUAGAUUCAUGUGUUGAUUAAAUUUUAAAUGAGGAAUCUGCAGAGUGUUGAAUGAAACAGAGACAAUGACCAGUUCCUAUGGAAUGAAGAUGUACACUCCACCUUCUCUUCUCUCUUUCCCCUAAAGUGAUGACAAAUCUUUAACAAUUUUCGUUUCUUAAGAAUGGAUUUUGAAAGAAUAAACUAAAUCAACAUUUUUCUAUCUGGACACAAGAACCCACAUAAGCAUCCAUUGGCAGUUAUAUGCAUGAAAAAUACCUUCCAGAUUUUGUAGUAGACUUUGAAUUCACUGAUAUAAUAUUAUUAAUAAUACAGAUAACAUUUUGACCAUUUAUUAUGUAGUUAUAGAUUUUUUAUAUGCAUAGCAGAUAUGAGUCUAGGUUCACAGACUCAGUUAAUCUAGAAAAACAUUUCUUGUAACUCAGCUUAACUCUAUGCUCAAUCCACUUACU